Molecule: long non-coding RNA, 1571 nt
Organism: Drosophila pseudoobscura
Lineage: Eukaryota; Metazoa; Arthropoda; Insecta; Diptera; Drosophilidae
Exons: 3
Source: RefSeq, a predicted model, not a curated record
CCAUGUUCGUAUCUGUGUGGGUGCCUGCGUGUGUGUGUGUGGGUGGGUGUUUGUUUAAGUAUUUUCGCAUCUUAUCGCCUGCGAUUUGUUGAUACAAUUUUAGAACAUUUUCAAUUCGAGUUGCUUGCCCCUGCUCCGGCCCGUUUCCAAGCAACAGCGUCGUCAUCCCUUAUCGACACCGCGACUCCUCGCCCCAUCUGAUAAGCAUCGCCAGCAAAACAUAUGUUGUACCCAACAAUUCACAAGACCAAUUCCGACUACCGAACUGUCAGAGUGGAAGGAAAACAAGCAGAAAGUAAAAUAAGUGCAAGUUAAAGUGGAACACUAACCGAAACAAAUAGCAAACAAGCCCAACAGAGAGAACUAACCAACAUUUCCAGUUCGCGCUAAACACGAUUCUAAUUAUAUGGUAUGAUUAGUUCUGCUUCAAUUUGGAAUAGAGAUUGGACCACAUUUUGAUGCUACAACUUCAAAGGGUUAUUAUAACCAAAGGAUAGUUUACAAGCGAUAAUUUCUAUCUCUAUAACACAUUGUGAAAAGCAUCUGAAAAUCAUGCAAAAUGUUUAUCCUAUUUUUAGGUUCUCUCAGAACCUCUACAUAGAAACAUUUGUGUUUGGAUUUUCUUUAUGCCCAUGAGAUCAUUUCCCAGACAGUGAUUUAUGUAUAUCUAUAGAAAGAAACAUCCUGGAAGACCCUAAAGUAUCCUCUAUGUAACAUACAAAUACACGCAUACAACGACCCAAGAGCAGUGAGAGUGAGAGAGAGAGAGAGAUAUUGACUUCCUUAAAUGCUCUCCGCAAGAGCGUGUCCCUUUUACUUCUUUACUCCGUUUCAAACGAAAGUGAGCAAAAAGAUUGAAAGCUGAAAGGGAGUGGAGAGGAGGAGAGGAGAGAAGACGAGGCUCCACAACUGCUACGCUACGCGAGCAAAAGGCAUGCGAAUGGAAACCAGUUAUAUUGCAAUCCGGAUUUCAAGGGGCCAACAAGAAUUUGAAAUCGAUGUGUGGAUCAAACACCAAGUUUGCCAAAGCCAUUGCAUAAUCGAGCAGAAAUCUGCAAGUCCAAGACAGAGAGAGAGAGAGAGACAGACUCCAAAGACGCUGUUAAUCAGAGUGAAGGUGAAUGGAAGUGGAACAAAUGGAAGUGGAGUUUGGAAGUGAUGUUGGAAAUGGCUUCAUUUCGUGGUCACGCAUCUGAACAGCAACAAGAGCUACAGGGGCAGGAGGUGGGCGGUGGGGGGCGGAAGAGAAAAAGAGAGAAGGCUCCUCUCUUUCUCGCCAGACGAUGGAGCGAUUAUUUUUACCUCGAGAGCAACUGUUGCGCACAGUGGGGGUCAAAAUAAUAGUAAUAAUAAUAUUUCUAGCCUACAGUGGAUCGAUCUGCUGGAAUAUCAAAGACUUUGUGGUCAUCCUUUCGGGUUUUACUUUUACUUUAAUUGCAUAAAUACAAAUGUAUUGGGGUUGUUUUUGGGAUUAAACUCUUAAGUGCUGCCAAUUAUUUUGCCCGCUGCUGUACGAUGCUUGAGACUCUUUCACUUUUCGUAUUGUUUUUGUUGUUUUUAUUUGCCUUUGU